This is a long non-coding RNA of Oxyura jamaicensis (ruddy duck), 1128 nucleotides long. RefSeq lists it as uncharacterized. The transcript is spliced from 3 exons. Lineage: Eukaryota; Metazoa; Chordata; Aves; Anseriformes; Anatidae. The record is from RefSeq and is a predicted model, not a curated record.
UGCUGUUGUCAAUAUAAUCACAGCUGUUCUUGGUCUGAGACAUUAAACAAAGUCCCAGGUGCUCAUUAUAUGGAGAUGAAUAAUUAACUUACUAUUUUAUAAAAGAAGCCUUGCCUUUUAAUAAGCAGUUCUUCAAAUAUUCAAGCUACAGGAGAGGGAUUUUUUUUGUUUGUGAUUUUUUUUUUUUUUUUUUAAUUUUCCUUCCCCCCCCUUCCUAAGAUAAAUCACAUGGUCCCUGUUUGUUUGAAAGUAAAUUCUCUCUUGUGGUCUUGAAGGGAGCUGGAGGCUGGGAGGAGAUGAACACAGCAAGGUCAGCUUUCUGGAAAAAUCCCUCUCCACCAGGAUUUCUGACAUCUCCUCAUUAGGAUCAUCCCCUCUGUGCAGUGAUGUUCCUCUGCCUGGAGAGGACAGGGACGCGUGGGUCAGGAGCCUGGAGCAGAAAUCAUCUUCUCCAGGCCCCCAGCUCUGGAGUGUCUGCGUAUAGUCCCAAAAGACAAAAGUUCAAGGAAUGAAACAUUGCAUCUACCCCAGCUGCUUUCAACUCUGAAUAGCAAAGCAGAGACAUUUGGUUUUCAAACCAGACGUCCAUGUUUUAGCUUUUGCCAUUGUUUAGUCUCACACCCCAGGCACAGGUCUUGGACUCCUUUCUUGCUGCAUCACAGUGCCCCGAGGACCCUGCCUGCUCUCUCCAGGGUUUCUCCCUAGGUUUCUCUGCUUUCCAUUGCACAUCAUGAAGAAGAGGGAGAAAUGUCUCAAAAGUUUGAGCUGCUUCAGAGCAGCAGAUUUUCUCUAACAACUCUCAUGACCUUUCCUGGCUGGAAGAAGAUAUCAUGAAACCAAGAGGUGCAGGGGCUCACUCAUGACAGCUGAUCUCGUCCUCUGUGAGUGAAGGUGAUUUUGCCCAAAAGAUUGUGCUGUCAGAAGAGACUGGACUGGGUGAGAAAGGUGAAAAGCAAGCAAAAGACCAUUUAAAAAUAACCAGUACCAAUGACUUGUGGAAAUGUUCAUUAUCUGGUGAUUUAAUAUUCCCAAGUGGAAUGAAAUCCUGAAAAGUUUACAGAUCCAAAUGCAGCUACUCUCCUAACAGACAGUUCAGCUGCGCUGGUCAGAUGUGAAACACUUUUUUUU